RNAcentral lists this ribosomal RNA (439 nucleotides) under uncultured bacterium. Its description in RNAcentral is "partial 16S ribosomal RNA". It matches the Rfam family "Bacterial small subunit ribosomal RNA", at positions 339 to 795 of the family's 1533-position model. The record is from RNAcentral.
CUACGGGUCGCAGCAGUGAGGAAUAUUGCACAAUGGGGGGAACCCUGAUGCAGCAACGCCGCGUGGAGGAUGACGCAUUUCGGUGUGUAAACUCCUUUUAUAUGUCAAGAAAAUGACGGUAGCAUAUGAAUAAGCACCGGCUAACUCCGUGCCAGCAGCCGCGGUAAUACGGAGGGUGCAAGCGUUACUCGGAAUCACUGGGCGUAAAGGACGCGUAGGCGGGUUGGAAAGUCAGGUGUGAAAUCCUACAGCUUAACUGUAGAACUGCACUUGAAACUUCUAAUCUAGAGUAUGGGAGGGGGAGAUGGGAUUAGUGGUGUAGGGGUAAAAUCCGUAGAUAUCACUAGGAAUACCUAAGGCGAAGGCGAUCUCCUGGAACAUUACUGACGCUAAGGCGUGAAAGCGUGGGGAGCAAACAGGAUUAGAUACCCUAGUAGUC